Molecule: transfer RNA, 68 nt
Filed under: Candidatus Uhrbacteria bacterium
Lineage: Bacteria; Candidatus Uhriibacteriota
Description: tRNA-OTHER
Source: RNAcentral
GGGGGUAGUGCGGUCACAGGGUCCGGCUUGUCAUCUGGAUCCUCGGGGUUCAAUUCCCCGUACCUCCA